Beta vulgaris subsp. vulgaris (sugar beet) is the source of this 3781-nucleotide long non-coding RNA. RefSeq lists it as uncharacterized. The record is from RefSeq and is a predicted model, not a curated record. The transcript has 3 exons. Lineage: Eukaryota; Viridiplantae; Streptophyta; Magnoliopsida; Caryophyllales; Amaranthaceae.
GCACAUCAACACUCACACGCAAUCUCGCUGUAUUUCCUUUCACACAACUCACCUAUCUGUUUCUCUCUCUUCUAUUUUUCUGAACUCUUACUCACCUUCUGUUUCUCUUUCUUCUGUUCUUCUGAAUUUCUUCUAAUCUCUCUUGCUCUCACUAUUCAUCUUCCCUAAAAGAAAAGCUAGAAACAAAUCCAUUAUUCAAAUGUUCACGUUUCAUUAGAGCUCUCUUCAUUCAUCCCUAAAUUGCGAUAAUUAAUCAAAUCAAUAACAACAUCAGUUAGAAAAUCCUUUAAUUUUCGAAUCAUGAAAAAAAGAUAAUCGUGUUUCAGAGAAUAUAGGAGAGAGAAAAUCGCCGGCGAGAGGGUUGCUCACCUUCCUGAAGUGAAAACCAUGCUCUGGAAGAUAUGAAGGUGACGUUAAGUCUUCUCUGUAUGCAUCUUCUUGUGUAUGAUGCAGUGGUUGGUUUGAUUGAUCUGGUGGCAGAGCAAAUGUCCAAAUUGCAGAGAAUUCUCUUUAGACGACUUUUAAGCUUCUGAAAGUUGUCUCUCGAUUUGUCUACACAAGAUUUCGGGGUUCGUUGACUGGGUACAUAGAAAGCGGGAAAGGUCCGAAAGUAGCAAGCCUCUUCACUACUAGUACAGAGGCCAAAUAAAAGGUUGCUCAUCAAACAAACGGGAGGAGGUGGUCGACCCGUUCAGUCAAAUUCCGAAGAAAGACUGUUGGCGGGAGGUGGAGACAUUUCUGCGACCCAGGGUUGCGCUUGAAUUGAAGUGAUGAGGUCUCAAAGAGGAAAGUAGGGCUCCUAAGGUAAAUCAUAAACCCUAACCCAUAUUGGGAUAUAAGAAAGUUGAAUGUCAGAGGGUUUGAUUUUACCUUGAAUUUAUAAAUAGUAAAUUUUUUUUGUUAAAUUAAUUAUCAUAAGAGAUAAUUAAUAAUAAUUAUUUUUAAAGGAUGAAUUUUAUUAAUUAUUACUUCAUAAUAAAUUUUGAGGGGUAGUAUUUACGUUAGGGUAAUAUUUAUAUUACUAAUAGUCAAUUUUUUUGUCUAAUAAGGUCAAAUAAGUUUCAAUCAGGUCCAAUAAGUCCAACAAGUUUCAAUCAGGUCCAAUAAGUCUAAUAAGUUUCAAUCAAGGCCAAUAAGGUCUAAUAAGUUUCAAUAAGGUCCAAUAAGUUCCAAUCAGGUUCAAUCAGGUCCAAUAAGUUGAAUCAGGUCCAAUCAGGUUUAAUAAGUUCCAAUAAGUUCAGUUCAGGUUCAAUAAGUUCAGUUCAGAUAAGGUCCAAUAAGUUCAGGGCCAAUAAGUUGAAUAGAACGCACCCUAACUCCUAUUUUGAACCAAUAUUCCCACAAUCAUGAUAGUGACUCAAGGUCACCGAGGACUUCAAAGGAAUUGUACACGAGACAUCUUUUUCUUAUUUUCUUCCAAAUUUGGCGCCAUUUUAGCACAAAGGGUUGUUUUGGCACUUUUUUUUCUACCUUCCUCCACCGACGUUCACCCUAAUUUUCCGACCUUGGUUUUGAACGACAGUAAUGAAGAGCUCUUUUCGGACUAUCUACUAUAUUGAUGGUAAAUCUUGCAUCUUAAGAGUGUGUUUCAUUGGGAGGAAAGUGUUUUCCAUGAAAAUUUAUUUCCUCACUUUCCUCUAUUUAAUUUGGACCGGAUUAAGAAAAGGAAAUAUGAAUUGAACUUCAUUUUCAAAGGUGAUCACUUACCCUAAAGAGGCAAGGGAAGCCACGUUUUCCCCCAACUCUAUCAAACAAUACCAUGCACAACAAAAACAAAGAAAAAUAAGUUCACAUGAAGUUACUUUCAUGUAAUCAAACAAAGGAAAAUCAAUCUACAAUUGAGUUUUAUUAUGGAAAAUGGUUUUCACGAAAUAUCAUUUUCCAUUGGACUAUAUUCGUCCAAUCAAACACACCUUGAAUCUUAAUGACCUAUUACUUGGCAAAUUUUGCUGAAUUUUGGUCAUUCCACGACCCAUUUAUAUGAUUUCAUUUGUCACUUUCCCCAACCAGAUAUAUAUUCUUCUUUGGGUCUCUGCAUUAAUAUUUACCGUGUAUUGGAUUUAUGGGAAUUCUCUUUUUUAUAAUUUUGAUUUUUUGUCUGCCCUAAUGAACGAACCAAUAUGGAUACCAAUCUUUUUGAGAAUUUUGUGCGACCAAAAUUCAACUGGAAGUUCUGGAAGCGCAAUUUAGACUUAUCAUGAAAUGAAGCGACUCGUUUAGUUGAUACAAUUUAUGGUUAUCAUGAAAUGUUUCCUUUUAUAUAUAUAUGGAAAAGCUAACAAGUGCCCAGGGGCAUUAGAUAAGAUAACUAAAAUGGAAAUAUUAAAUAAAUCUAAAGAUUAAUUAUACCAAUUGACGCGUGAUUUUGGUUCUAAGAUUUAUACCAUUCGAGUAAAUAUACAUAGUGCUUAUCUAACAUCCCGAAACAUCCGUUAGCAAGAACCUAAUUACAAUACUAUUAUUACUUAAUUUCCUCACCUACUUAAUUUCAUCAAUAACUAGCCAUUUAAUUUUCACUUAAUCUAUCUAAUUACAUCUACCCCCAUUAAUGAUUCCCUUCCUUUUUCUAUCUACCACCAUGAGCCUCUCCUUCCACAUCAUUCUCAUCAUAUUUGGAGGACUUCCGCAUCACUGAAACCAUGUGUCUCCCUAGCUCGUCUGGCCCGAAACUCUAUCCUCUCUCGCUUGAGCCCGCAUUGCUUCAGUCAGGUCCAAAUCCCCCCUGUAUCAGGUCCAACCACCUGCUUUUUCUUCCUCUUCUCACACGAGCCCAACUUCCCUUUCUUCUUCUCUUUCUUUGGCCUCUUAGCCCACAUGCAAUCCUACUUCUCCAAUGCCUGAUCCAACUUCCACACUUUCUACUGACUCGACCGUGGUAAACGUGGGAAUAUUCCCUCUGUAUUAUUAAAAGAUUUUGUCACUCAUUUUGUGGCCGCUGAAAGUCCAUCUCAACCUGCUUCAUCUCCUUCAGGUAUUAUAGCUCAUUAUAUUAAUUGCACAAAUUUUUCUGAGAAGUGUUGCAAAUUUCUUGCUUCUGUUAUUUCUCACCCUGAACCCAGGUCUUUCAAAGAAGCUAUGAAGCUAAGGAUGAUGGUUGGAAAACUUCUAUGCAUGAUGAAAUUUGUGUUUUAGAGGAUAAUGGUACCUGGAUACUAGAAGAGCUUCGUCCUGGGAAGCAAACUUUAGGUAGUUAGUUGGUUUAUCGCAUUAAAUAUUUAUUUGAUGGGUCUGUGGAACGUUUGAAAUCUCGUCUUGUUGUCUUAGGCAAUCAUCAAGAGGCAUGUAUUGAUUAUAAUGAAACUUUUGCCCCUGUCACUAAGAUGACUAUUGCUAGGGCCUUCUUAGCUAUUGUUGCCUCCAAGACUUGGGAACUUCAUCAGAUGGAUGUUCACAAUGUUUUUUUAUGGUGAUCUAGGUGAAGAAAUUGAUAUGAAACUUCCUCCGAGUUUUGAAUGUCCUAAUCCAAAUUUGAUAUGUCGAUUACGUAAAUCUUUGUAUGGUUUGAAGCAGGCUCCUUGUUGUUCGUUUGCAAAGUUGGUUUCUACCUUGAAAGGCUAUGUUUUUAUUCAGUCUUACUCUGAUUACUCUCCGUUCACUUAUACUAGUGGGAUUGUGCAACUAAAUGUUCUCGUAUAUGUUAGUGAUCUUAUUAUAGAACUAUAUGUUAGUGCAUGCUUCUGGCGCAUUAUUGGAUGAUGCAGCACCCUACAGGCGCCUCGUUGGCCGCUUGAUUUAUUUGGUUGUUACUCUUCUGACUUACCCCUAUGCUGUUCAUGUUCUC